This 253-nucleotide ribosomal RNA is filed under the name uncultured bacterium. Its description in RNAcentral is "partial 16S ribosomal RNA". It matches the Rfam family "Bacterial small subunit ribosomal RNA", at positions 524 to 776 of the family's 1533-position model. The record is from RNAcentral.
GACAGAGGUGGCAAGCGUUGCUCGGAGUUACUGGGCUUAAAGGGCGCGUAGGCGGUCGUGCACGUCGGUGGUGAAAUCCCCGGGCUCAACCCGGGAACUGCCGUCGAUACGGCGCGACUCGAGUGUGGGAGGGGAGAGUGGAACUCCUGGUGGAGCGGUGAAAUGCGUAGAUAUCAGGAGGAACGCCGGUGGCGAAAGCGACUCUCUGGACCACAACUGACGCUGAGGCGCGAAAGCCAGGGGAGCAAACGGG